GACGAACGCUGGCGGCGUGCUUAACACAUGCAAGUCGUACGGUAAGGCCCUUUCGGGGGUACACGAGUGGCGAACGGGUGAGUAACACGUGAGUAACCUGCCCACAACUUUGGGAUAACGCUAGGAAACUGGUGCUAAUACUGGAUAUGUGCCCCUGCUGCAUGGUGGGGGUUGGAAAGCUCCGGCGGUUGUGGAUGGACUCGCGGCCUAUCAGCUUGUUGGUGGGGUAGUGGCCUACCAAGGCGGCGACGGGUAGCCGGCCUGAGGGUGACCGGCCACAUUGGGACUGAGAUACGGCCCAGACUCCUACGGGAGGCAGCAGUGGGGAAUAUUGCACAAUGGGCGCAAGCCUGAUGCAGCAACGCCGCGUGCGGGAUGACGGCCUUCGGGUUGUAAACCGCUUUCAGCAGGGACGAAGCUUUUUGUGACGGUACCUGCAGAAGAAGCACCGGCUAACUACGUG
Molecule: ribosomal RNA, 463 nt
Filed under: uncultured bacterium
Lineage: Bacteria
Description: partial 16S ribosomal RNA
Rfam family: Bacterial small subunit ribosomal RNA
Source: RNAcentral